Molecule: ribosomal RNA, 613 nt
Filed under: uncultured bacterium
Lineage: Bacteria
Description: bacterial SSU rRNA
Rfam family: Bacterial small subunit ribosomal RNA
Source: RNAcentral
GCGCGCAGGCGGCUAUCUACGUCCGGGGUGAAAGCCCAGAGCUCAACUCUGGGACUGCCUUGGAUACGGGAUAGCUUGAGGAUCGGAGAGGCAAGGGGAAUUCCACGUGUAGCGGUGAAAUGCGUAGAGAUGUGGAGGAACACCUGUGGCGAAGGCGCCUUGCUGGCCGAUUUCUGACGCUGAGGCGCGAAAGCGUGGGGAGCAAACAGGAUUAGAUACCCUGGUAGUCCACGCCGUAAACGAUGAGUGCUAGGUGUUGGGGGGUACCACCCUCAGUGCCGAAGCUAACGCAUUAAGCACUCCGCCUGGGGAGUACGGUCGCAAGACUGAAACUCAAAGGAAUUGACGGGGGCCCGCACAAGCAGUGGAGCAUGUGGUUUAAUUCGAAGCAACGCGAAGAACCUUACCAAGACUUGACAUCCCGCUGACCGCUCUAGAGAUAGAGUUUCCCUUCGGGGCAGCGGUGACAGGUGGUGCAUGGUUGUCGUCAGCUCGUGUCGUGAGAUGUUGGGUUAAGUCCCGCAACGAGCGCAACCCUUACAUUGUGUUGCCAUCAUUAGGUUGGGCACUCACAAUGGACUGCCGGUGACAAACCGGAGGAAGGCGGGGAUGA